This 490-nucleotide ribosomal RNA is filed under the name uncultured bacterium. Its description in RNAcentral is "bacterial SSU rRNA". It matches the Rfam family "Bacterial small subunit ribosomal RNA", at positions 43 to 524 of the family's 1533-position model. The record is from RNAcentral.
CAGGCCUAACACAUGCAAGUCGAACGGUAGCACAGAGAGCUUGCUCUCGGGUGACGAGUGGCGGACGGGUGAGUAAUGUCUGGGAAACUGCCUGAUGGAGGGGGAUAACUACUGGAAACGGUAGCUAAUACCGCAUAAUGUCGCAAGACCAAAGAGGGGGACCUUCGGGCCUCUUGCCAUCAGAUGUGCCCAGAUGGGAUUAGCUAGUAGGUGGGGUAACGGCUCACCUAGGCGACGAUCCCUAGCUGGUCUGAGAGGAUGACCAGCCACACUGGAACUGAGACACGGUCCAGACUCCUACGGGAGGCAGCAGUGGGGAAUAUUGCACAAUGGGCGCAAGCCUGAUGCAGCCAUGCCGCGUGUGUGAAGAAGGCCUUCGGGUUGUAAAGCACUUUCAGCGAGGAGGAAGGCGAUACGGUUAAUAACCGUGUUGAUUGACGUUACUCGUCGAANAAGCACCGGCUAACUCCGUGCCAGCAGCCGCGGUAAU